This is a small nuclear RNA of Gorilla gorilla gorilla (western lowland gorilla), 106 nucleotides long. The record is from Ensembl. Lineage: Eukaryota; Metazoa; Chordata; Mammalia; Primates; Hominidae.
GUGCCCACUUCAGCAACGCAUAUACUAAAAUUGGAAUGAUACAGGGAAGAUUAACAUGGCCCCUGAGCAAGGUGACACACAAACUCGUGAAAUGUUCCAUUAAAAA